This is a non-coding RNA of Pelobates cultripes (western spadefoot toad), 327 nucleotides long. NCBI's taxonomy places the organism in Eukaryota, Metazoa, Chordata, Amphibia, Anura, Pelobatidae. The record is from the annotation of a GenBank genome assembly.
GCUGGUCGGGCAUAUCGCAUGAUUAAUUAGUACAGAUCGGCCAUCUCCUCGGCUAACCAAGGAUUUGACGGCUGCCCAGCAGGCCAACAUCCGUUAGUGUGCCGCUUACUUAGGGGCUCACGCCUGUCGCGCCCAGCUUGACCUCGUUACUCAUCUACAUGGGACGUUUCCUGCGUUUUGUCGCUGUUCUCCUCCUGGCCGCCCAAUGCAGAGCUCUCCCUGUUCUGUCUCAUUUCAUGCAAACGAGUAUCGGAUGUUCGUGCCCUGGACUAUGAUUCUAGGUCUUUCACUCCGGACAAGGUGACGUUUAACAUCUCCAGACUCUCC